This 387-nucleotide ribosomal RNA is filed under the name Dunaliella tertiolecta. RNAcentral describes it as "partial Bacterial large subunit ribosomal RNA". It matches the Rfam family "Bacterial large subunit ribosomal RNA", at positions 1649 to 1954 of the family's 2925-position model. The record is from RNAcentral. Lineage: Eukaryota; Viridiplantae; Chlorophyta; Chlorophyceae; Chlamydomonadales; Dunaliellaceae.
UUCCGACACAGGUGAAUUAGAGUUAUGUUCUAAGGCUAAAUAGAAAUAACCAGGUUGAAGGAACUCGGCAAAAUGCUUACGUGCUUAUCGACAAGUAAGGACUAUAAAUGUUACAAUAUAAUUGAAGGCAACGACUGUUUAAUCAAAACACAAGACUCUGCUUAAUGUAAAACGUAUUAUUAUAAGACAGCCCGACGCAGUCGGCAAGCCUCCGACGCAGUCGGCAAGCCUGCGCCAAUUAAAUUGGCGCCCAAUUACAUUGGCGCUGGGCGCCAAUGAAUUUGGCGCUGGCGCGUCUUUUUGGGUUAUAAUAAUAUUCGUAUGUAAAGAGUCUGACAUCUGCCCAAGGACUAAGGUAAACGGCUGCUGUAACUAUAACGGUACUAA